Esox lucius (northern pike) is the source of this 1133-nucleotide long non-coding RNA. The record is from Ensembl. NCBI's taxonomy places the organism in Eukaryota, Metazoa, Chordata, Actinopteri, Esociformes, Esocidae.
GGGAUUCACAUUCAACUGUAGGCCAUAACAGAAUGGCACAAUCAUAAAACAAAACAUGGCAACAAAGGAAGAAAAUGAACUGACCCCUGAUCAAAAGUCUGCAUACCCUUAGUUCUUAACAUGACAAGGAAUGUGGGAUCACUGAGUGAAAUUAACUGGAAGUAUACACAUUAUUCCACAACGUAUGUUUUAUACUUAAUACUUCAAGUAAAAAAAAUAUUCAGCAAACAUAUACAAAUGGCAGAUUUAGAGAACACAUUUUAAAUUGCUUGCAAUUAAGUAACUCUUAUAGUUCAUGAGUACAAAUAAAAAAAUUCAUCCAACAAUCCUGAUAUUCAAAAGUCCUGUGGAAAUGUUCAAUGCUUGUACAAUUGAUAUCAAAGGUCUACACACUCUUAGUGAGAAGGCAGUCUACACACUCUUAGUGAGAAGGCAGUCUACACACUCUUAGUGAGAAGGCAGUCUACACACUUAGUGAGAAGGCAGCUUUUGUUGAUGUAAAGGCUGAAAUCAAGACCAAUCAUGUUGACUUUUUAUCCCCUUUAUUAACUAAUCUUGUAACCAACAUCAUAAGUGAAGGAUUUUUUAUUACUGGUAAUGCUUGGGCUGUGAAGGUGUGGACACUGCAUCAAGCACGUUUUGCUUGGAUUACAGCAGUAGGUCAGUUGAAUAGGUCUCCAUCAACCAAGCAUACCUUGGCAGGAGUUGAAACUGAGUCAAAAGGUUAGAUUCAUGUGAUAUUAUGAAUGCAAGAUCAAGCUGAUAAACAAUCACAUUGUUUUCACAGCCUGUUUUAGUUCAGAUUAACCCAGGGUGCCAAUUAUUCCACAGGGCACUGUACUUAUUUGCUGGCAGGUAAAUACUUACGCACAUCAAUCUCAAAACUCCCCAUUAAAACUAUUCUCUCUCAAUCUGCAAUGCAAGUAAAUGAGCACUUUAAUCCAAGGAGGAGUAAAUACUUUAUAAUAACCCACUGUAGGGAGUUUAACAGGGUGACCACCUGGGGUUGAAAGCUUUGUUUCCAAUUGUCUCUCUGUCCUGAUAAUGAUUGUCGUGAAACCUGCUUGCUGGAUGCACCGCAAAACAGCCCUUGGCCCCCCAGGUGGCUGAAGCCUGCGAUGUUCUGUGUGGCC